RNAcentral lists this long non-coding RNA (664 nucleotides) under Homo sapiens (human). Its description in RNAcentral is "PREDICTED lncRNA (TCONS_00017385)". Lineage: Eukaryota; Metazoa; Chordata; Mammalia; Primates; Hominidae. The record is from RNAcentral.
AUUUUAUUCCCCUUCUCCCCCGAAAAACUGCAUACUUUCCUCACAAUUUGCCUACGAGGGCUUCAAGAUCUUUACUCUAAAACAGUUCUGUUGAAUUUCACCAUAGCUGAUCUUCACAAGUGUGGGACAAAGGAUACACAGAACUCAAAGUCAUCCCUCUGUUCACCUGAGCUACCUCCUUCUCACAUGUAAAUUGUGUAUUUAGUAAAAGGCUGAUCAAAACCCCAAAAGAAUGCAAUCUUUUGUCUCUUAUUUACCUAUGACCUGGAAGCCCCCACUUUGAGUUAUCCUGCCUUUCCAGACCCAACCAAUGUACAUCUUACAUAUGUUGAUUGAUGUCUUAUAUCUCCCUAAAAUGUAUAAAACCAAGCUGUGCCUUAACCACUUUGGGCACAUGUCCUCCGGACCUUCUGAGGGUGGGUCAUGUGUGUCCUUAACCUUAGCAAAAUAAAAACUUUUUAAAUUAAUUGAGACCUUUCUCAGAUACUUUUGGGUUCAUGAUGCUUACUUUUUUAUUGGUAGCUACUAUGGACCAGGCAUGAUGCUGGUGCUGGGGAAACACUGCCAAAGUUCCUGCUUUCAAGUUGUCUGCAGUCCAACAGAGAAAGGUUCCCAAAGGCCUCACAACCUGCACUGUCUCCUCAGCCCUGGCUGGAACAUGUUG